GUUCCUAGGGAGGCAGCAGUGGGGAAUAUUGGGCAAUGGGCGCGAGCCUGACCCAGCAACGCCGCGUGAAGGAAGAAGGCUUUCGGGUUGUAAACUUCUUUUCUUAGGGACGAAGAAAGUGCCGGUACCUGAGGAAUAAGCCACGGCUAACUACGUGCCAACAGCCGCGGUAAUACGUAGGUGGCAAGCGUUAUCCGGAUUUACUGGGUGUAAAGGGCGUGUAGGCGGGGAAGCAAGUCAGAUGUGAAGACCACGGGCGCAAC
RNAcentral lists this ribosomal RNA (263 nucleotides) under uncultured bacterium. Its description in RNAcentral is "partial 16S ribosomal RNA". It matches the Rfam family "Bacterial small subunit ribosomal RNA", at positions 335 to 613 of the family's 1533-position model. The record is from RNAcentral.